UCCUACGGGAGGCAGCAGUGGGGAAUAUUGCACAAUGGGCGAAAGCCUGAUGCAGCGACGCCGCGUGAGGGAUGAAGGCCUUCGGGUUGUAAACCUCUUUCAGCAGGGAAGAAGCAGCUGGGUUUUCUCAGGUGUGACGGUACCUGCAGAAGAAGCACCGGCUAACUACGUGCCAGCAGCCGCGGUAAUACGUAGGGUGCAAGCGUUGUCCGGAAUUAUUGGGCGUAAAGAGCUUGUAGGCGGUUUGUCGCGUCUGCUGUGAAAUUUCGGGGCUCAACCCCGAACUUGCAGUGGGUACGGGCAGACUAGAGUGUGGUAGGGGAGACUGGAAUUCCUGGUGUAGCGGUGAAAUGCGCAGAUAUCAGGAGGAACACCGAUGGCGAAGGCAGGUUUCUGGGCCACUACUGACGCUGAGAAGCGAAAGCAUGGGGAGCGAACAGGAUUAGAUACCCUGGUAGUCCAUGCCGUAAACGUUGGGAACUAGGUGUGGGCCUCAUUCCACGAGGUCCGUGCCGCAGCUAACGCAUUAAGUUCCCCGCCUGGGGAGUACGGCCGCAAGGCUAAAACUCAAAGGAAUUGACGGGGGCCCGCACAAGCGGCGGAGCAUGCGGAUUAAUUCGAUGCAACGCGAAGAACCCUACCAAGGCUUGACAUGUGCCGGUAAAGUGCAGAGAUGUGCUCCCCGCAAGGUCGGUACACAGGUGGUGCAUGGUUGUUGUCAGCUCGUGUCGUGAGAUGUUGGGUUGAGUCCCGCAACGAGCGCAACCCCCGUCCUAUGUUGCCAGCGGAUAACGCCGGGGACUCAUGGGAUACUGCCGGUGACAAACCGGAGGAAGGUGGGGAUGACGUCAAGUCAUCAUGCCCCUUAUGUCCAGGGCUUCACACGUGCUACAUUGGCGCAUACAGAGGGCUGCGAUACCGCGAGGUGGAGCGAAUCCCAAAAAGUGCGUCUCGGUUCGGAUUGGAGGCUGAAACUCGCCUCCAUGAAGGCGGAGCUGCUAGUAAUCCCAGAUCAGCAAUGCUGGGGUGAAUACGUUCCCGGGCCUUGUACACACCGCCAU
This 1061-nucleotide ribosomal RNA is filed under the name uncultured Ornithinicoccus sp. RNAcentral describes it as "bacterial SSU rRNA". It matches the Rfam family "Bacterial small subunit ribosomal RNA", at positions 337 to 1396 of the family's 1533-position model. The record is from RNAcentral. Lineage: Bacteria; Bacillati; Actinomycetota; Actinomycetes; Micrococcales; Intrasporangiaceae.